GUCGAACGGUAACAUAAGAAAAGCUUGCUUUUCUUGAUGACGAGUGGCGGACGGGUGAGUAAGAUUUGGGAAACUACCUGAUAGAGGGGGACAACAGUUGGAGACGACUGCUAAUACCGCAUACAGCCUCAGGGUGAAAGAAGCGAUUCGCUAUCAGAUGUGCCCAAAUGGGAUUAGCUAGUAGGUGAGGUAAAGGCUCACCUAGGCGACGAUCUCUAGCUGGUCUGAGAGGAUGAUCAGCCACAUUGGGACUGAGACACGGCCCAGACUCCUACGGGAGGCAGCAGUAGGGAAUAUUGCACAAUGGAGGAAACUCUGAUGCAGCC
RNAcentral lists this ribosomal RNA (326 nucleotides) under uncultured bacterium. RNAcentral describes it as "bacterial SSU rRNA". It matches the Rfam family "Bacterial small subunit ribosomal RNA", at positions 61 to 392 of the family's 1533-position model. The record is from RNAcentral.